GGGGUAGAUAACUGGGGUGAAGUCGUAACAAGGUAUCCGUACCGGAAGGUGCGGAUGGAUCACCUCCUUUCUAUGGAGA
This 79-nucleotide ribosomal RNA is filed under the name Brevibacillus laterosporus. RNAcentral's name for it is "partial 16S ribosomal RNA". The stretch from base 1 to 70 matches the Rfam family "Bacterial small subunit ribosomal RNA", at positions 1464 to 1533 of the family's 1533-position model. The record is from RNAcentral. Lineage: Bacteria; Bacillati; Bacillota; Bacilli; Caryophanales; Paenibacillaceae.